AUGUACAUUUUGAAUCUACUUCUCCUUAAGCUCGUUUGCAAUUUAAUGAAAUUCAUAUGUCUUAGAUUUCUUUCAAGAAUCCUGGCCUUAAACAUAUUUUCUAUCCUCUCUUUGAUGUUUGCUUUAGGAGAAUAUUCUUUAGAUGGACUAUUCUUAAAUGGCACCCUCUGUGGAGACUUUAUUCCUUUCACAGACAGAAAUGGAGGACAACAACCAAUUGUCCUGCGUCACCCUCGGUAAUAUAGUAAAUGAGAAGAAAGAGUUUUGGAAAGAAAAAAAACACUGGAAAAAAAUCCCAGUUCCUCAAGGGAGUGUCAUGGAUUUAUCAGGGAGUGUUUACAGCAGCAUUUCAGCCCAGAUGAGGAGAGUGCUUUGUAAGUGAAUCACUGCUCAUGGCACUUUGAUUUACACCUCAGAGUGGUCAUAGAGCAUAUGCACCAGGUUCACUUCAGGAAAAACUAAAUUGGAAGAUAAGUUGCAGAGACAAAUGUUAAGUGCGCUGACUGCUCGUGGGCAUUCAGUUCAUAGAAACUGAUUAAUGAAGUCCAAAUGAAAACUUCCUGAAUAUGUGGACACUUGGUCCUCAGCAUAAGCAGAUGGAUGCAGAGGAGAGUGCUUGGAUGAUGAGAGAAGCCCAGUUUAUCAUAUCAGAAACAAUUGGAUUGGUAAUUAGAUCAGAGGAUGUGAUUCAUGGAUAAACAACAGGAAGGGAGAAGAACUACCAAGUACAAAACAAACCGACACAAAAACAAAUGAGUAUGACUUGCUCUCAACCUAGAGAUUAGAAGGAAUGUAAACACACAUCUGAGGACUAGAAGGAAGAGCUAAGCAAAGCUGCAGUUUUGGAACAACAUUUCCACUGGAAUAUCAUGGCUUAAUGGAGCCCUAAAUGGGUUAAUUAAGGGAACCUAACCUUCUAAAAUUCAGUUUGUGGAAACAAUUGUAUAAUGCAUGUGCUUAUAAUGUGCUAAAUGUGACCAUUUAAUCUGUUAGAAGGGAAUGUUUCACUUCUACAUAUUUUUAAAACACUGAUGUAGGAUCUUUACAUUCAUUUUGAAGUGCCAUUAAGUGUAAAAAAACAGAGAUGACUUCUGACUGGCAAAAAAUUGAGUAAAUGUUUGGGAUGAAGAAUGUCUCUGUUAAACUUGAAUUUUAUGGAAAUGUUGCAAGAUACUCUCUACAAAUAGUGUAACAGCCACAUAAUUGCAGCUUUUGGAUCUACAGACAAGUUACCAGUUAUGUCUGUUUAUUUACUUUUUGUCCUUGCACAGCAUAAAACAUAUCAGAAAGGCAAUCAAGAGCAGGGACACUGAGUCAGUGUUGACUUUCAGUCAGGGGCUUUGCCAGACAUGGUUUUCAAUUAGAAAGAGGAGAUGUGGAUUCAGUAAGCAUUCACAUAGUCACCUAGGUUUCAUUUUCAUCCAAACAACCCUUCAGAGACAAUGAUAGAAAUUAGAGGAUGAGAGCUCUCUCUGUAUUUAAUAGAAGUUUACUUUCUUCAUUCUUUUCUUUCUAAAUGGAAUUUUUGUGCGUCAAAGCUUUACUCAUUACUUUAAAAACUGCAUUCAAUUUUAUGACCAUUAAAGUUUCAUUUUGAGUGUUACAUUAUUCUUAUUGCCUUCUUACCCCAAUACCUAUGCUAAGAUUACUUUCCUGUCCUCAUAUCCCAUCCACUUGUUCUUCCAUUGAAAACAAUCCCUGGCUCUGCUAGAAUCAUCCCUUUGCCACCGUGUGCAAUGUUGGGAGCCUACAGGUUUCCAUCCCUGCUAUCUCCUUCCGUACUCCUUUGUCACUAGUACUCAUCUCUACAAGCACAGAAAACAUGUCUUUCUUCUCCUGAAGCUGAGCAAUCAUUCUUGAGGUAGGACAUCCUGGUAGGAAGUGCUCACGUGUUUCUUUUGGUUGCUGUGGUCACUUGACUCACUUAAGAGCUACCUAUCCUUGACAUUAUUGCUGGUACUAACCCUUGCUCCCUCCAGAAAGCAAAGAUUUUGUGCAAGUUUUGGUGUUGCUCACCAAAAACUGGGCAGCUAAUUGGGAGAACAGAGGUCACCCAACUGUAGGCACACAGGCAAAGAGUGCUGUCAUUCAUAUGUGGCCUAUGGAUGCUGUGAAGCAAAACCUGUAAUUUCAGCAAGUUGUCCUAGAAAAGGAAUCCUGCUAUUUCUGCUUUUAUUCUCUAACCAUAAGAUGGUUAAAUUAGGCUCUGAAAAAUUAAGUUGCCAAACAUUAAGCUAGUGAAUAUAUUAAUAAAUGAUGAAUUAAAACUAAAGAGAGAAAGCA
Numida meleagris (helmeted guineafowl) is the source of this 2283-nucleotide long non-coding RNA. NCBI's taxonomy places the organism in Eukaryota, Metazoa, Chordata, Aves, Galliformes, Numididae. The record is from Ensembl.